UCGCCCGGGCGGCCGGGGACGAAGGCGGCCGCGGCGAGCGCGCCGCCGAAGGUCGUCACCGAGGGCGGCGGCCCGGUGCCGUUCCGCUCGGGCAAG
This 96-nucleotide transfer RNA is filed under the name Couchioplanes azureus. Its description in RNAcentral is "Couchioplanes caeruleus subsp. azureus tRNA-Ala". The record is from RNAcentral. Lineage: Bacteria; Bacillati; Actinomycetota; Actinomycetes; Micromonosporales; Micromonosporaceae.